UCUGUAGCAAGGUUAACCGUAUAGGGGAGCCGUAGGGAAACCGAGUCUUAACCGGGCGUUAAGUUGCAGGGUAUAGACCCGAAACCCGGUGAUCUAGCCAUGGGCAGGUUGAAGGUUGGGUAACACUAACUGGAGGACCGAACCGACUAAUGUUGAAAAAUUAGCGGAUGACCUGUGGCUGGGGGUGAAAGGCCAAUCAAACCGGGAGAUAGCUGGUUCUCCCCGAAAGCUAUUUAGGUAGCGCCUCGUGAAUUCAUCUCCGGGGGUAGAGCACUGUUUCGGCUAGGGGGCCAUCCCGGCUUACCAACCCGAUGCAAACUGCGAAUACCGGAGAAUGUUAUCACGGGAGACACACGGCGGGUGCUAACGUCCGUCGUGAAGAGGGAAACAACCCAGACCGCCAGCUAAGGUCCCAAAGUCAUGGUUAAGUGGGAAACGAUGUGGGAAGGCCCAGACAGCCAGGAUGUUGGCUUAGAAGCAGCCAUCAUUUAAAGAAAGCGUAAUAGCUCACUGGUCGAGUCGGCCUGCGCGGAAGAUGUAACGGGGCUAAACCAUGCACCGAAGCUGCGGCAGCGACGCUUAUGCGUUGUUGGGUAGGGGAGCG
RNAcentral lists this ribosomal RNA (604 nucleotides) under Salmonella enterica. Its description in RNAcentral is "partial 23S ribosomal RNA". It matches the Rfam family "Bacterial large subunit ribosomal RNA", at positions 634 to 1238 of the family's 2925-position model. The record is from RNAcentral. Lineage: Bacteria; Pseudomonadati; Pseudomonadota; Gammaproteobacteria; Enterobacterales; Enterobacteriaceae.